Molecule: long non-coding RNA, 3752 nt
Filed under: Citrus maxima (pomelo)
Lineage: Eukaryota; Viridiplantae; Streptophyta; Magnoliopsida; Sapindales; Rutaceae
Description: long non-coding RNA (CMAX_LNC002468)
Source: RNAcentral
GUGAAAGAUCUGGCUGUGGUGGUGUAAUAAGCGUUGAUGUCGUUGCAGUUGUAUGAUAUUGUUGGUGAUGGUGAUGGUGAUGAUGACGACGACGACGAUGAAGAUGUUUGAAAAAGAGAUGAGAAGCUUGAAACAGCAGCUUGGUGAGUUUUUAUUUGAGAUUGUUGAUUGACUAUGCCUAUGAGUUUCUUCUUGAGUUUGGUGUUCCAGUAGUUCUUGAUAUCAUUGUCAGUCCUGCCUGGCAACUGAGCAGCUAUAGUUGACCACCUGCAAUUUUUGUGUAACAAGAAAUCUAAAACUGAGAUUUAAACUUAAUUCCCAGGCAUACAAUUUCAUAUAAAAAUAAAGCCCCAAAAAAGAAAAGGAAAGUAAAAUUAGUAGCCUAUUUUUGAAGCGUGAAACAUGGGAAGCUUGCUCUUUUUGUGUUAAUUCGUUGUUUCCAUCUCCGUACAUAAAAUUCAUACAGCCCACCCAGAAAAAGAGAGGAAAAUUAAUUAAAGGAAAUUAAUGAGGUAAAAGAGAAAAAUUAAAAAAUUAAAAAGGGAAAAUUGAAAAAAAAAAAAAGAAGAGAAAUAUACCUGCUCCCAAUGCUGGCAAAGAGGCUGCAAAUAAUUCUAUCUUCAUCAUCAGAGAAUUCACCGUGAUUGAUGUUGGGUCUCAGAUAGUUAAGCCAUCUCAAUCUGCAGCUUUUCCCACAUCUCAUCAGACCUGAUUAAUCAAACAAACCAGAUCCGUUAUAUUAAUUAAGAUGAUUAAAAACAAAUAGGAAGAAAACGAAAAAUAUAAACAAUAGUAAUCACCAGCUUUAUGGGGAAGAGCAAUCCAGUUCCCUCCUGUUCCAUUUUUCUCUAUAUACUCCUUCAGCUUUGCAUCUUCUUCAGGAGACCACGGCCCUUUCUUUACAUUUGCUUUGUCACAGCAAGGAGCCCUGCCCAUUUCUCUUUAUUUUUCUUACAAAGAGAAAUGAUUGGUUUGUUUGUUUGGAAGCAGAAAUCUUGAUAUUUGGAGACUAGGGAUGCAUUUAUGUAUUGCAACAAUUAAUUAACAAAAGAGUCAAAGGACAGGCUAGCUUCUCUUAUUUUCUAUAUGAACAUUAAAGAGUAGUAUAGUUUUCUUGCAAAUCUUGUUUAUGCAUUUGAAAAUGAUGUGCUAUAAUUUUCAAUCAUAUAUAGGCCAGGUCAUAGAGUACCAUACUCAGGACUUUGCAAAGACUCAAUAUAAUACAACGAAUGCUACCUCAGCCGGUCUAACUUUACUAUUAACACUAUAAAGAUAUUGAGUGCCAAUUGUUAAGCUUAUAUAUAUAUAUAUAUAUAUGCUCAUGUUCCACAUCUACUUCAUAACUUCCUCGAAACAUUUCUCGGCUGAAAUCAAAAUGAAUAUCAUUAUUUUGUCAUACUUUGAUUGAUUGAUAAGGGUGGGGUUAUUUGUACUCUAAAAAACACUUUGAAUACUCUUUAUUUCCAAAUAUAUUUUAUUACAAAAAUACCCUUUCAUGAAAUUACUCAAAAGGAUAUUCACUUUACUUAAAAAAAAAAAUACUUUACACAACCAUUUAUUAUAAAUCCUAAAUUUUUAUUUCCUUCAUCAAUUCAUCAUCUGAAACUCAUGGAAGAUAUAAAACACACACGCUUUGAGAAGGAAGCAACAAAACUCACGUGUAGCAAGCCUCCUUUCUCCCUCACGAGCCAGCUGGGGUCUCUCUCUCUCGUCUUCACACUAUUAAUAGUCUUAGCUCCGUUCUCCCUUGCCAUGCAGUAAUACUGAGAUUUCUCUCUUGUCUCAAUUGCCCUAAUUUAAAUCUUUAAAUUGUUUAGGACAAUUUGUUGAACUACAGAUGGAUGGUGGUCUUGUGCUUGGGUAUUGUAAAUUGGAAUCAAAUUAUACAACCCCUGAUGCCCUUUGGGAAUCAUGUUUAUUUCAAGGUUUCAUGUUGUGAUUUGAUUGCUUGAUGAAGCAUAUGGAUACUGUAGUUUGCUCCCUCAAAUUAUUCUACUUUGUUGAAUAAACUAUAUUGCCCAUUAUUUGAAUAGAAUUAAAAAAAAAAUUACAGCCCCUAACAUUGAGCUAAUGCUAUAAUUUACACGUCUCCCUCUUUUAUAGCACAUUUUUUUUCAUAAUUUAUGUUGUUUCCAAUCAGUCAAUAUGAAAUAUAUUCAUUUUGUAGGAAUAAAGAAGUUAUGUCAUUUGAUAGUGAGACUAAAAUGUUUAGUUAUUACAGAGAUUAUGGUAAAAAAAAAAGAGUUUCCAGUUUUGCGGAGAAGUAGUAAUGAGGGUAAUGAUGGGAAAAUAAGACAUGUGAGUUAUGCUUGUGGGCGAAGCGGUGCAAUAAGAAGCAAAUCUACUAAUCUUCUCAGGCCCCAACCUAAAGGAAAAGUAGGUUCCAAUGCUAAAUUGGGAGGGGGUUUAGAAGAAGAUGGAAAGUAGAGGAUUUGAGUUUUAAAUCUUGAACACAAUCUUACAUUGUUGACUCCAACCAAGUCUAAGUUUUCCCGUGCAAUCGUAGCCUCAGUUCAGAAGCAAAAAAAAAAAACUUGAUGUAAAUGCUAUAGCAGGAAUUAGAUUAUCCCAAAAUUAUCAAUAAGUUGUUAUUAAGGCUGGUGGCCGUGAAAAUGAGACAGUCAUAGAAAGAGAUUGUAGAAAUUAUGUCCAGAAAGAAAGACGACUACUACUUGGAGAUGGAGAUGCCACUCAUCUUCAAAACUAUUUUAUAAAAAUAAAAUCAAAAGACAAUAGGUUUUUCUUUAGUAUGAAAGUGGAUGAUAAGAGUUGAUAAAAAAUGUAUUUUAGGCUGAGCCAAGAGGUAGGGAAGCUCUUCUUUUGCGACGAUACUUUUGUGACGACAUAAUUUUUGUCGUAGAAUGUCACUUUCUAGGACCAUAGGUGAUCUUGUCGCUAAAUGUCUUGUUUUUUCGUCACAAAAAAUAAAUUCAUCACAUAAGCUCACUUUUUGCAUUUAUCAAACAAAUUUAUUUGUAAUUUAUUUGAAACCAAAAACAUUUUCAUUGCAGAUUCUAUACUUUCAAUGACCACUUCAAGAUUUCGUCACAAAAAAAGAAAGUGAUAAAAUUAAUAUGUAACUUUUUUUGGGGACAAAACCAAAUUUUCGUCCCAAAUAUCUACUUGUUGCGACCCCUUUCAAAUUGUCGUAAACAGUCAAAAUAUUUUGGCAGGAAUUCUACCGUCAAGCAAAUUAUAAAAGAUAUAAAUGAACUAUUGUAGCGACAAAACAUUAUUUGGUCAUUAAAAAUAAAAUAUUUUGUCAGAAAUUGAACCGCCUUACAUAAUUAAACUCAAUUUGAACAAAUAUUUGCGACCAAAUUUAAACGUGGUUGCAAAAGACAAGCAUGUUAUAUAUAUUUGUAUUAUUCUUCUCUAUUUCAUUUUUAUCUAUAAGUUCUCUCACUCUUAUAAUUAUUAUUCUCUUGUUCUCACUCUAUCUUCCUAGCUUAUUUUCCUUACAAACUAUUUAAAUGUUUUGUUACAUAAUUUUAUUUAAUUAUCAUGUGUAGAAGUUAACUAACCCUUGUGCUUUGUAUUUUUUUGGUAGAAAUUAAAUAUUGAAGAUCAUACACAAAGAGGUGAAGAAAAUCAAUAAAUUUAUGAAUAAAUAUAAUUGUUCCAAACAUUACAAUGUUAUUUGAAGAUCAUUAUGUAAUUGUUCCAGAUGUUACAAUUAUGUAAUUUCUUCUAAAUAAUAUAAUUUCAUUUGCUAAAAUUUUGUGUAUUUUUUUAUCAAUAAUAAAAUUUUA